Molecule: transfer RNA, 83 nt
Filed under: Caldibacillus debilis
Lineage: Bacteria; Bacillati; Bacillota; Bacilli; Caryophanales; Bacillaceae
Also listed under: 2 other names
Description: tRNA-Tyr
Rfam family: tRNA
About the family: Transfer RNA (tRNA) molecules are approximately 80 nucleotides in length. Their secondary structure includes four short double-helical elements and three loops (D, anti-codon, and T loops).
Source: RNAcentral
GGAGGGGUAGCGAAGUGGCUAAACGCGGCGGACUGUAAAUCCGCUCCCUUAUGGGUUCGGCGGUUCGAAUCCGUCCCCCUCCA